Molecule: long non-coding RNA, 1444 nt
Organism: Lepidothrix coronata (blue-crowned manakin)
Lineage: Eukaryota; Metazoa; Chordata; Aves; Passeriformes; Pipridae
Exons: 3
Source: RefSeq, a predicted model, not a curated record
UCGUCCUGAAACCUUCUCUUCUCCAGGCUGAACAGUCCCAACUCUCUCAGCCUUUCCUCAUAGGAGAGGUGCUCUAUUCCUCUAAUCAUCUUGGUGGCUCUCAUUUGGACUUGCUCCUACAGGUACCAAGUCUCAUCUAAUAACUCAAGAGGCAUUAACUUUCUAAAACUACCUGUUUACUUGGUACAUGACCCCUCUGUAUUAUGAUAAACAAACAUGAAAUCAGAUGGAUUGAGGAAAGACUCACCGGUCUCUAUUGAAGUCUGCAGAGAAGAACGAUUCUGGAUACAUGAUUCCAGUAGGGGGGAAGGCGUCCUCUGGAUAAAGGAUCCUCUGCACCCAGCUGUACCCCAGGCAAGUGUAUUACAGCUAGCAACACUGAGUAAGCAGACACCAGAGGCUCCACAGGACAGAAUGGGGAAGAAGUUCCUUCUGAGAGCCCUGUUUAUGAAGAGACUGGAGAGCCAAGCACACCUGGUCUAGUCAAGCCAUUCCUUGUGAUGAAGUUGUUGCUGCUUGCUGCCAUCAGGGACACAACUGAGCAGUCCCACACCCUCUUGAGGGUGGUCUCAAAGAACCACAACCUCCAGAGGAGCCUUCAAACGGGGCUCAGAAAUCCCAAAGCCCUCUCCUCAUUGCCCUUCUCUCUCCUGCUAAACCGUACAUAGACCCAAAACAGGAUCCAACUCACUCUCCUUGGGGCACCUGGCACAUGUGCUCUUUUGCCCUUUUGUUGUUUGUGCAGUGUCUGCCAUGAGGUAUUGUCACUUGCACAACUGAAGAGUAGGCAACCCAUCCCCUCACCUUUCCCCCGAGAUACAAGAGGUAGGACAAUGCUCCAUCACUUGGGUAAACAGUGCCAGACAGAGCUGGUUAGAGCAGCCUUUCAUCCUGGCAACACUUUUAGCUCUGGGGUUUGCAUACAUGCCCCUAAAACUGAAUUUCUCUCAGAACUGUUAUGUCAGAAAUCUCCAAAGUGUUUUGAUUAGCUCGUUCUGGGAGAUUUCAGCUUCACAUGGUCUUCUUCUCUGCAGUGGACAUAUUUGGAGCCAAUUUCUGGUGCUUAGUUUCAUAAUCGCUAGCACUUCCGAGACUUCUCAGAUGGGUGGCUGACAAGAAGCUACCUGGUUACAUGAGUUUUAACACAUCUCUCAGCGAACUCUGAGACCCAAAUGCAACAUCUGCUAGAACAUGCACGGAUGUCAUGUGGAUUUAUGAUAUUUGCUUGAGGAUUCUGGAGCCAUAAACCAAUGAAUGGAUUACAAUGAGAUAAAUACAGUAUUUUCUUCUGUCAAAGGCAAUUUUGUCCUGAUACUUUUCAAUGCAUUAUUUAAUUGAAAGCAGUUUCCAUUUUGCUCAACCUAGCAAGUUGAAAGUUUAAAAGAUAAGCCACAUUUCUUUGUUUGAAUAUACUGUCAAAUGCAUUUGAAAAUAAAAUGCUCAA